Molecule: ribosomal RNA, 465 nt
Filed under: uncultured Klebsiella sp.
Lineage: Bacteria; Pseudomonadati; Pseudomonadota; Gammaproteobacteria; Enterobacterales; Enterobacteriaceae
Description: bacterial SSU rRNA
Rfam family: Bacterial small subunit ribosomal RNA
Source: RNAcentral
CCUACGGGUGGCUGCAGUGGGGAAUAUUGCACAAUGGGCGCAAGCCUGAUGCAGCCAUGCCGCGUGUGUGAAGAAGGCCUUCGGGUUGUAAAGCACUUUCAGCGGGGAGGAAGGCGUUAAGGUUAAUAACCUUGGCGAUUGACGUCACCCGCAGAAGAAGCACCGGCUAACUCCGUGCCAGCAGCCGCGGUAAUACGGAGGGUGCAAGCGUUAAUCGGAAUUACUGGGCGUAAAGCGCACGCAGGCGGUCUGUCAAGUCGGAUGUGAAAUCCCCGGGCUCAACCUGGGAACUGCAUUCGAAACUGGCAGGCUAGAGUCUUGUAGAGGGGGGUAGAAUUCCAGGUGUAGCGGUGAAAUGCGUAGAGAUCUGGAGGAAUACCGGUGGCGAAGGCGGCCCCCUGGACAAAGACUGACGCUCAGGUGCGAAAGCGUGGGGAGCAAACAGGAUUAGAUACCCCAGUAGUC